AGCAGCCGCGGUAAUUCCAGCUCCAAUAGCGUAUAUUAAAGUUGUUGCAGUUAAAAAGCUCGUAGUUGAAUUUUGGGUUUGGCCAAUUGGUCCGUUCUUGUAACGAGUACUGGUUGGUUGGGCCUCACCGCCUGGUGAUACGUAAUGUCCUUUAUUGGGUGUUGCGAGUAGCCAGGACCUUUACCUUGAAAAAAUUAGAGUGUUUAAAGCAGGCUUAUGCCGGAAUACAUUAGCAUGGAAUAAUAGAAUAGGACGAUGAUUCUAUUUUGUUGGUUUCUAGGAGCAUCGUAAUGAUUAAUAGGGAUAGUUGGGGGCAUUAGUAUUCAAUUGUCAGAGGUGAAAUUCUUGGAUUUAUUGAAGACUAACUACUGCGAAAGCAUUUGCCAAGGAUGUUUUCAUUAAUCAAGAACGAAAGUUAGGGGAUCGAAGACGAUCAGAUACCGUCGUAGUCUUAACCAUAAACUAUGCCGACUAGGGAUCGGGCGAUGUUGUUUCAAUGACUCGCUCGGCACCUUAUG
This 518-nucleotide ribosomal RNA is filed under the name uncultured Archaeosporaceae. Its description in RNAcentral is "SSU rRNA". It matches the Rfam family "Eukaryotic small subunit ribosomal RNA", at positions 569 to 1092 of the family's 1831-position model. The record is from RNAcentral. Lineage: Eukaryota; Fungi; Glomeromycota; Glomeromycetes; Archaeosporales; Archaeosporaceae.